AUGCUGCUUACUGUGUCGUGAUAAUGUCCUUGUCUCCCAAUCAGGAGCCUCAUGUCUUCUUGCCAGCCUCUGUGGAACUGUGCUUGGCAGGUCACCUUGUUCUAGCAGAUAGAAACUGAAUCAAUAUGGGAAGAGCCAGAAUUUGGACAAGGUUCACCAAACAUUCACACUGAUGCCAGGUGGGCCAAGAAAAAGGGAAUGUCCUGCCUCUGAGAAACUCAUCAUACAGUUUGGAGAUAACAUUUGUUGAAGGAGAGAAGAAAAGAGGAGAGAGGAAUGGAGUGAGGCAGAAAGGAAAUGAUGACGAGCUACUCUUCAAAAUUAAGCUGGAUAACAACAAGAAAUUCUAGAAAGCAAUUGAGGCAACCUCCAC
Molecule: long non-coding RNA, 373 nt
Organism: Homo sapiens (human)
Lineage: Eukaryota; Metazoa; Chordata; Mammalia; Primates; Hominidae
Exons: 3
Source: RefSeq, a predicted model, not a curated record